This 386-nucleotide unclassified non-coding RNA is filed under the name Hevea brasiliensis (rubber tree). The record is from RNAcentral. Lineage: Eukaryota; Viridiplantae; Streptophyta; Magnoliopsida; Malpighiales; Euphorbiaceae.
GUCAUUGAUGUGGAAAAUUGAUUAAAUUCAAAUAACUCGAAGGAGAGGUAGACCAAUGAUGAUGUGUUUGCUGAAGUGGUAAAAGAAUUGGUUUAGGUCCAGAACUAAUUAUAUUAAGUUUAUGCCAAAAACAAAAAAGCAAAUGAGAAGGAAUGGCAUCUACAUAACCCCCAUCAACAAAAUUUGGAGCAAUCUUAAUUGAGUUGUAUUUAAGUUUGUAAAUUUGUAUCUUUGUAAUAGCUUAUAUGGCACAUGGUUCCAUGACAAUUUAUUAAUAUCAUUAUUUACUUGAGAACCUAUUUUACUUAAUCUUUUAUAAAAAUAUGUUGUUCACUCCACAAUAAAAUCUAAACUAUUUAUAAGGCUUCAUCGUUGUUCUCAUGUGC